Molecule: long non-coding RNA, 795 nt
Organism: Humulus lupulus (European hop)
Lineage: Eukaryota; Viridiplantae; Streptophyta; Magnoliopsida; Rosales; Cannabaceae
Exons: 3
Source: RefSeq, a predicted model, not a curated record
AUAAUACCCUUUUUCUCACUGAAACUCAGCACCCAUCAUCUUCCCCAACAGGACAUAUACGUCAUCUUCUUCACCCAUCUAUGGCGGAUCUCCGUCAAGCUGUCGUCCGACUUCGAGACCACGUGCGCCACAAACUGAUGGUCUCUCACCGACGCAAGCGAGGCUCAGAAAUUUCAAGAUCUAAGAAGUUAUAAUGAAAUCCUCACUCACAAAUGGCAGCUGCAGCCGCAGCCCCCUCCAUCUUCAUCUCCUCCGAGUCCUAACCAUGAGCAACUCCAAGAGCUGAGAGAUCUCCCAGCUAUGGCUGGACCUCCAUCUCGUUGCCAACCUCCGCUGUGGACUCUGCUACUUCUCCAAGUUCCACUCAACCUGUUACUUCAAGUCCACUGAUGGCCACAACAACAACUGGUCAUUCGACUAUUCUCACCUUAAUCUCCCUGUACUCGCUCACCUUGCUGCAAAACGUGACAUUUCCAGAUGACCAUACGACCUAGGUCAUCAUCGCCUCCUCCGAUCAGUCGUCGGGCUUCUCUGAUCAGUGUUGUACGCCUCUGAUUAUCCUCUCCACGAUCAUCCAUCUCAUCUCAGGCUUUGGCUUCGGGGAUUUUCCAAAUCAACACCGCCGUCUCUUCCUUCUUCCGCCUCAUCAAUUCCCUUGGCACCCCCAAAGAUACUCUUCAACUUCGAGAAAAACUACACAAAACGAGGAACCAUAUCACACAAUUGGUGAUGGAGACUUCAUCCAAACUCAGUCAAGCCAGUGAGGCCGAUCACCAACAUAAUAAUCAAAUUACU